This 497-nucleotide ribosomal RNA is filed under the name uncultured bacterium. RNAcentral's name for it is "partial 16S ribosomal RNA". It matches the Rfam family "Bacterial small subunit ribosomal RNA", at positions 28 to 507 of the family's 1533-position model. The record is from RNAcentral.
GAUGAACGCUGGCGGCGUGCCUAAUACAUGCAAGUCGAGCGAACGGACGAGAAGCUUGCUUCUCUGAUGUUAGCGGCGGACGGGUGAGUAACACGUGGAUAACCUACCUAUAAGACUGGGAUAACUUCGGGAAACCGUAGCUAAUACCGGAUAAUAUUUUGAACCGCAUGGUUCAAAAGUGAAAGACGGUCUUGCUGUCACUUAUAGAUGGAUCCGCGCUGCAUUAGCUAGUUGGUAAGGUAACGGCUUACCAAGGCAACGAUGCAUAGCCGACCUGAGAGGGUGAUCGGCCACACUGGAACUGAGACACGGUCCCGACUCCUACGGGAGGCAGCAGUAGGGAAUCUUCCGCAAUGGGCGAAAGCCUGACGGAGCAACGCCGCGUGAGUGAUGACGGUCUUCGGAUCGUAAAACUCUGUUAUUAGGGAAGAACAUAUGUGUAAGUAACUGUGCACAUCUUGACGGUACCUAAUCAGAAAGCCACGGCUAACUACGUG